AUUGAACGCUGGCGGCAUGCCUUACACAUGCAAGUCGAACGGCAGCACGGGAGCAAUCCUGGUGGCGAGUGGCGAACGGGUGAGUAAAGUUUCGGAACGUGCCCAGUCGUGGGGGAUAACGUAGCGAAAGUUACGCUAAUACCGCAUACGACCUAUGGAUGAAAGCGGGGGAUCGCAAGACCUCGCGCGAUUGGAGCGGCCGAUAUCAGAUUAGGUAGUUGGUGGGGUAAAGGCUCACCAAGCCGACGAUCUGUAGCUGGUCUGAGAGGACGACCAGCCACACUGGGACUGAGACACGGCCCAGACUCCUACGGGAGGCAGCAGUGGGGAAUUUUGGACAAUGGGCGAAAGCCUGAUCCAGCCAUGCCGCGUGCAGGAUGAAGGCCUUCGGGUUGUAAACUGCUUUUGUACGGAACGAAAAGGUUUGGCCUAAUAAGCUGAGCUCAUGACGGUACCGUAAGAAUAAGCACCGGCUAACUACGUGCCAGCCGCCGCGGUAA
RNAcentral lists this ribosomal RNA (500 nucleotides) under uncultured bacterium. Its description in RNAcentral is "partial 16S ribosomal RNA". It matches the Rfam family "Bacterial small subunit ribosomal RNA", at positions 30 to 523 of the family's 1533-position model. The record is from RNAcentral.